ACGCGGGCGGAUCUAAACAAUAUACCGAAACCUUGUCCAUAACAAAUUAUGAAGGCGCUAGCGCCUUCAUAAUGAAAUGGGGUAGCAGAACGUUAGGUUCUUGAGGCGUUAGCAUAGUAUGCUGGCGCCAAUCAAUUUAGUCUUAGUGUAAGGACUUGUGUCUUAUACUAGGGCUAAAUAUAAUCAAAUAACUUAAGUGAUAAUGGUGACAUGAGUAACAAAAAGAAUAAUAUUCCGCCUAAAGCUUAUGGAUAUAAAUUAAGUAUCGGCCUCUAAGUUUAUAAACCUAAAGGUUUAAACGAUGAGAAAAUCUUUUUUAUUAAGGACAACUUUGGGUCCUGUAUAUAUAUAGU
RNAcentral lists this ribosomal RNA (353 nucleotides) under Stachybotrys elegans. RNAcentral's name for it is "partial large subunit ribosomal RNA". The record is from RNAcentral. Lineage: Eukaryota; Fungi; Ascomycota; Sordariomycetes; Hypocreales; Stachybotryaceae.